CGCGCACAGCCGGGGCCGCCCGGGGGGGCUCUAGAGCCCGGCGGGCCGCGAGCGCCGCAGGGGCAGUGCCGGCCCGUCCUCCCUCAGCACUACGGACACCACGGCGGCGGCGGCUGCCCGGCUCCGGGCUGUAGCUGUUGUUGCCAUGAUGAUGAUGUCACGGACGCAACCAUUGGGGGGAGUGGGGGGAGGACGGGCCAUGGUUUGGGGGGAAGCGAGGGAGAGAGGUGUCUUAUCCCCCCCCCACCACCAGCCCGGCUCAGCAGACGUGCGUAAGGCUUCGGAGGUUUUUUUUCUCCCCCAAAUUAUUAUUCUCCCCCCCACCCUUUUCUUCCCUGGGUGGCAAGAAGCGGGGGGUGGGGCGGGGGGAGCUCGAUGAUUCGGUGAUCGGCCGCCGAGGUCGGGGCGAGGCUGCGGAAUUCCGAGCCGCGGAUUGGACAGGCCGGGGGUGGGGGGAGGACGAGAGAACGCCGCCGGGCCAGGAUUGGGUUAAGCUGGGUCGGCCGCCAUUUUGGAUGCUGAGCCGUCUCGCUGCGGGAAGAUUGAGAGCACACUUCUACUUUUUGUAUUCUUUUUGCAAUCAAGUGAAGAAGUUAGCCUCCAGGAUCACGCCAAGGUCUUGCCUUUGCCUCCCAUGAAAAAAACCUACCAGUGAACGUGCAUGCAGAAAACACAUAAGUAUUCAACAAAAAAAAUYGCCUCAAAU
This 706-nucleotide long non-coding RNA is filed under the name Apteryx rowi (Okarito brown kiwi). Its description in RNAcentral is "lncRNA (ENSARWG00000009675.1)". Lineage: Eukaryota; Metazoa; Chordata; Aves; Apterygiformes; Apterygidae. The record is from RNAcentral.